UCCCAUAUGUUUUAGCUUUGUGGAAAUGCCAUACUGUGUGAUUAGCAUGUAUGCUUUGCCAGAAGGACGACCCACGAUAGAGCAGGUAUGCGCACACUUCUCACACCUAACCAUAAUUCCUAUACCAACUCUUCAUGUAAAUGGCACACAAAUAUCACUUCAUAUUUGACAGUAACAUUUCCCAAGUAGUAUUGGAACAGAUGCUAAUAAGUGGAUCUGGAGGCUAUUUUGUGAACAGACCAAAAAAAUCCUCUGAACUGGCUUACCCAGCUAGUGAGUGAUGAUGGUGAGGGGCUCUCUGUAGGCCACAUGUCAUGAUUUUUUAUUUCCACGUACCUUCAACUGGGGCAUGUUCAGAAUGGAACUUGUAGGACCUGACAGUAUGUACCAUCAAGGAAUUUGAACAUCACUGUCAGCGAUGCUGUUGUAAGGCUCUUUCAAAACAGCCACUGUGAACCCUGUUAUCUUCUCUCUCAUUGUAUCUCAGUAACAAUAUAUCCAAAACACAAACAAGAAGUUCAAUCCUUGUUACAGUAGCCACUCAAAAUUUCAAAGUAUAUACUAAUCACCUCCUAAGCCAAAGUCCUAAAGACAACUGCAGGCUCUGCUCCUAGCCUUUUUUACAGCAUGUUGUGUUAGUUGAUAACUGCCUCCCUAAAAUUGUUUAAAUUAAUCCCAGAUGGUCUGGACUCUUGUCAAAGCUCCUGUUAUCAGGAACUGCCAGUUUUGCAGACCCAGGCUCUUCAUGGAUCAAAAGGAAGGAAUGGAAAUGCUACUGCUUUUUUCAGGGCCUGGCCAAGGUAAAAUCCCAGUUCAUGGCUCAGAACCACUCAAAGAUGAAAAAAUAAACACCCUAAAUAAAGAAGGCUGAAGUUCAUAUCCACAGGAAUAAAAUGCUGAAGAGAUUAUUAACACAGAAGAGGAAAGGGGAGUCUUUCUCCAGUUGUUGAGCAGGAUGGAUGGAUUCGGGAGUGCCAGUAAGCAGGAGGAAGAAAGGCUCUUUCCAUACCAAGAAAACAUUUUCAGAAGUAUCUAAGAGAUGGCGGUACCUACAAUACCUUUGCCAAGUUCUCUACAGCAGAAACCCUAUCAAGAGUAUGAUUCCAAAGUCACUUAAAGGCAUAUUAUUUUCAAUACAAAUUUGCUUGUUCUGAGUAUUGGAAGAAAUGUAAAUGCCUCUCCUAGGGUAGACUUGUGCAUUGCCUGCCACAUCUGAUAGCCCGUGGUGCAAACCGCAGGGUUGGCUCCCAUGACUUGAAACAUUCACACACUCCAAAUGAGGGGGAUGCAUUCCCAGCUCUGGGGUACGGUUGGAAUGAACAGAGGCAGGUUUUAUCUAGGAACUGGUAAUGGACAAAACUUUCACUCUGUAUAGUUUUGAAUUAGAAAAAGGAUAGCUAAAAUACAAAAUAAAAUACAAAAUAUAUAAAAUAUAUUGUUGACAGUGGACAACCACAACACCUUAUUGCCAGUGUUAAAUAUUUGUCUGCUAACUUGUGUCAAUACAUCAACUUCAAAUGUCAAUAAAUAGAAAUCAUUCUAGACAGUCUAGAAACUAAGAAUCUGCAGAUAGAUUUCCUGGUGUUAGAUCCUUCUGGUGUUAUAGGAUACCACUGACUUUGAAGCAAAUCUGUUUGCUGCUUCAGGCUUAGGAACUAAAAACACUUGAAUUGUUUAUUCUCAGUUCUAACCUUGAAGUAAUCUCAGUCUGGCAUAUCAGCAACACUUCUGCCCCACCAGAUAUAAGCUUUUAGAAAGAAUAAUUCAUCCAGUAACUUAGAAAAUUCAAUAAGUACCCAAACUGGGUACUUAAAUUGUAAGUAAAUGAGAAAAAAAUGCAAGUUACGCAAAAAGUUUCUUAAUAAGGACGCUCUUGGUGCAAAUGUGGUUUAUGAGUUGAGUCAAAUUGAAAUUGAACAAAAAAACUCUUAGGCUAUAAUCACGGGAAUCAGACUGUGACCCUAUGACUCUAGAUAUUUAGGGCAACAUACAGUUUCAUUGGAUUUUUUUGGAUAAUCACCACUGGCACUGCUCUCAAAAUGCAAUAGCAUACUGAGGGUACACCUAAAAUGGAUUUUUAUAAUCACAGGGAAAAGGACUGUCCUCUCAAGUAUUAACUUUCAAAUCAUUACCGUGCACACUAGAAAUGAUCAGAUGUCAGGUGCGGAGUCUGAAAGGCUUAUUCUUUGAAAAUAACAAUCAGAAAACUUGUCUCCUGCUUGAAGUUUUGAAGUGAACAGAAAUCCUGUUCUUACACAGUUAAGAGAAUUUGUUGUAAAACUACACCCUGGUUGUUCCACCGUUUUAUUCUACUGUAGCUAUUACUGCUUUUACUGUUGUAUGUUUUAUGGAGCAUAUAGGGAAUAUUUAGUAUUCAUUGUUAAGCAUUUAUGUUGACACAGUGGAAAAGUCAUAUGUUUUUAGUUUUUUUCCUGUUUUCAGAGCUUGUUAAAAAACAAUUUUGCUGCAUUCUUCAUCAUAUCAAAGAAAAAAAAUCUUAAUUUUUAUAGCACAUCAUGACAUUUUGCCUUCAUGGCACAGCAAUUAUUUAAUCUUUGGAAAGGAUUGCAGGAAAUAUGUAAAAGACUGUAGCAAGCAUAAACCUUUUGUUAUGUGCUCUGUCUUGUGCAGACAGACUUCCUGCUGGAGGCAGAAUCAGCAGAAGAGGUGUCAUACGGGAGCUGCUUGGCAUCCAAGCCCAUACUCAGACUCUCUCUGAACUUCACUUCCCCUGAUCUGCAGCCCUAAAUUACUUAUCUGCUUAAUCUCACAUCCAGUAAACUAAAAAAAUAUAAACACUCAUUUCAAAACCACACACACUCUUCCCAGUGCAAAGAUGCUGAGCUGAUGAACCAAACUUCUAGAAAAUUCCAAAUAAGACAUUUCUACAGCUAGCUCAUAUGUAGACAAUAAAAUUCAUUUUAAACAAGUCAAAGUUUGUAAGAAGAUGCAAUAUCUCCUAUUAGACUAACUGAUAACAUCUGUAAGACAAAAAAAGAAGACUUCUGAUACUGAGUCAUAGAAUAUCUUAUGUACCUGACAUCUUGUGUGGUUUUUACGGGUAUGUAGAUUGUUCUUAUAAUAAAAAUGUGGAUUCUUUUAACAUCAAACCCUUCCAUGCUAUAGAUUAUCACAGUUAGAGAAACACCUUUAAUACAAACAUAUAUUAAAAUUAGCUGAAACUUUCUAUUCUUCAGAAAAUUCAUAAAGCAGUAAGAGUUUUGCAAGUUUUGUUAUAACAAGGAGUGAAUCCACAGCUGGAAAAGAGGCACAGAAGCUGCUUCAUUCCUGAACUGAUUUUGGCUUUGUUUAUUUGCCUAUCUGUAGUAAUCUUGAAAUCUUGAUCUCUAACUGAAAACUGAAGUAUUUAUCUCAAAUUCAGCUCCUAUGAUGGUCAGCUCUUUAGUACCAGACACUGCACUGCCCCUGUUGUUUUGCAGUGCUUCUGAGUCAUAUUCUUCGACAAGGAACAGAAAAAGCCUUGGGGUACGACCACCAGGAACACUUUCUGCUCUCUGUGCUAAUGGAAGUGAUUGUUGGCUCUAGGGCUCUUCUAAGGAUUCAUGCACAGUAUGUUUACUCCAUGGUCCCAUUAGACAGCAGAGAUUGUGCAUUUUAUAGUAUUACCUUUGUUUAUACUGAAUAAUAGCUCCUGAUGUAAAGAGAUUAUGUAGUUGCAGUGUUAAACUGAGACUAGAGUAACUACUUAAUGGAUAGUUUUCCACAGAGGUCAUCAACAGUUACGUGCCAAACUCUUCUAUUUAAGAUUAUUUCAAAAUCAUAGACAAUACAAAUAGAUUAGGAUUUCUUCAAGCUAGGAAAUUUUUGAAGCUAUGUACUACGUUAUGGUUCCUUAGUUCUCCUGCUCAUCCACCUUAGUAUGCAGUUGUUGUUGUAUAAUAAGACAAUGUGCAAGUUUGGGCAUUACAGCAGGGGCUGGAUGCUAUGUUCCUGCCUUGAUCAUGCCUGGUGUCCUUCAUUACUUAUUUCAAAGUAACUGCAGAAAUGAUAAUAGCUGCACUGGCUUGAGAACCUAACCAGGGAAACUUUGCCCUGUUAACAUCAUUUCUGGAAGGUAAACUUUUUUUCUUUUUUUCAUUUGCAACAUAUUUGUUACAGAGAAAACGCUGUAAGCUCUUUGGGGCAAAGAAUGUCUUUUGGAUCCGUGUUGAAUGUAACAUCUACUGAAAUGGAUUUAGUCAACUACAAUUUAUCUCAUCAGUUCAAAGUAUGAUUUCAGACAGAGUGAAACAACAGACUGAAUGACCACAGGCCAGGCCUACAGGGAACAUGACUUCUUCCUCAGAGGCUCAAAUUCCUGUAUGGUGAGCAUCCAGAUUUAAUUUACCUUUUCUUAGUCUCUAGAAUGCUUUGGGAAGCAGAAAUGUGAGCUGGCCAAAGGGCUCAAUUCUCAUUCUCUUCAAAACAAUUCUUAUAGGAAAAAACUCACAGAAUGGUUUAUUAAACAGCAUUUUGGUGCCAAAGGGAUUAAGUAGUUUUCUUUCAGCGAGAAAUAAAACCUACCAAAGAAAUCUGAAUAUGAGGAACCACAAAUAGAUAGUAUUUGCCCACUGGCAGUUUGAGAGCUGUAUUUUAACAUUAGCAGAUGAUUUCUGUAAAAAUUUUUAGACAGGCAGUCUAUGGGAAAAUAGCAGUCACUUUUUAAAGCAACAGAGAGAAAAAUCACAAAGCCAUUUGUAUACUUACAGCAUUCAAUAUUUAACACUGUACAAGCGUGUGUGAAAUAAUCACAUGCUAAUACAGCUAUAGUUUGAUUCUAAAUCCCUCCCUUUCUAGUACUAUUGUUCAGACAUGAUGUGUGUCAUGUCUUAUCACAUCAUUCUGGAUUAUUGUAGCUCAGAGUUAUUACAUCACUGCUGACAUAACAUGAUAUGACCUGACAGGUCUGAGAUGAUCUCAUGUGAUUCCAUGUUUAUCACGAAGAUCAUUUUGCAUUGAUUAACAUUGUUUUAAGUCAUUUAAGGUCAGUGCUUAUUUUAUAUGCAUAUUUUUAAAAAAAAAUCUUGAAGGAAUAAACCCCAUUUCAAACAUCACAUGCAAAGAGCAGAGAGUUCAUGAGGUUCUUUGAAAGAAAUGACACCUUUUGUGGUGCUCCAGUUAUGAGAGUGGGAAAAGUCCAUGCAGUGAAAAGAAACCAAAAUCAAAUAUUGCUCACCACAGCUAAUCCUGAUCAUGUACCUCCACAUACUCCAGCAGCUGUUCACCACCCAGAGCAGAGGUAUCCCCAGCCCACCUGUUACGCAGGUGCUGCAGCAAUACUGCGCUCCAGGUGAGCCCUCACAUAAGUGGUCCCAGGACUACAGUGCCAUGUCUGAGCUCCUCAUACAACAAAGUAAAUCAUCUGUAUUUAUAUCUGACACUUCUAAUACUCACUGCUGUCACAUACAGUAUUCACAAAAUCUAACCAUUUAAUCUUUCUAGACCAAUUCCUACCUUGCACUCUGUAGCUUAGAAAUGAAGGAGAUGUUAACAGUAGAAAUUUUUACUCUCCAAAAGACUAAAACUCUUUUCUUUCCUCAUUUUUGGGGGGAAUUGCAAGGACCUGUUGUAAUAAAUGUUUUCCAUUCACCUUGCGGUGAGAUUUAACUAACCGAACUAUAAUGCUUUUGUCUGUACCUGAAAUAGGAUCUAUACUCUAUUUUUGAUCACUGGAGAGAAACAGACAUUUUAUAUGUGAUAUUAUCUAAUUCAGGUAUUGCCUGAAGUUCAAAUGAUUCAUAUCUCAAAAUGGCCUGUUUAUUUCCCCCAGUGAUCUAGAGACUCUAGACAAUCAGUCAGCUCUAAUGUUGACUUCCAUUUAGAAGUUAGGUCAAAUGAGCCGCAUCCUUAGGGUCCAAAAGAUAUAUAAAAAAUGCAAUGUACCGAAUAAUGUUGGCAAAAAAUAAAAAAGAGUUUAACAGGAAGAUGCCUAUAAUUGUCAGCUCUGUGGUAUGUGUUCUUCCUUUCUUUUCUGCAGAUGUAUACACAAUUAGAGUUUGCAGCCAGGAGCUAUUAUAAGUCAGAGUAGUGCUUUCCCAGUUUCUCCCCAAGCAAAUAUCUCUUAUGAUUUGAAUGGAUCUUGUGUCUGAACUGGGACCAUGGAACUGUGUUCAGUAUUUGUGUUUUGCCGUAGGGUUUCAUUCUUUGCCUGUACUCAAUGACAAACUCAAAGAGAUUUGCACCAGUUAUUUUAAAAUAGUAGCAUUCCAAUGAAAAUAAAACAGACCCUACAAAAUCUACAUUCUGUUAUUCCUUCUGAAUGCUAAACUAA
Molecule: long non-coding RNA, 6271 nt
Organism: Numida meleagris (helmeted guineafowl)
Lineage: Eukaryota; Metazoa; Chordata; Aves; Galliformes; Numididae
Exons: 3
Source: RefSeq, a predicted model, not a curated record